AUGAUGAUCAGGGACGAGACUGCGGCCGAUCUGAUCGACCUCCGGAGGACAAUAUGCCACAUAAUAAUGUCAACCGUGGACAUCGAGGAAGCCGGGCACAGGCUAUCGUCGGUGGUGAGGCCCGGCCAGGAGACCGAGGUGUGCACCAUGAUCAUCGAGUGCUGCCGGCAGGAGAGGGCGUAUACCCGUUACCAUGGGCAGCUCGCGCAGCGGCUCUGCGCCCUCGGCGACGACCGGGCGUACCAGGCCGGCUUCGAAGCCUGCUUCGCGCGGCUCUACACGGCGGUGCACCGCAUGGACACCGACGAGGUACGUGGCCCCGCCAGGCUCUACGCGCACCUGCUGGCGACGAACGCCGUCUCGUGGCGCGGCGUGCUUGCCGGCCGUGUCAGGUUGACGGAGGAGGACACCACGUCUUCAUCGCGCAUGUUCCUCAAGGUGCUCUUCCAGGAGCUGCUGGAGCGGCUCGGGAUAUGGCUGGUCCGGCGGAGGAUGAUCGACGACGACCCGGUGGUCCGGGAUGCCCUCUUCCCCACUGACUCGGCCAAGAAUACAAGAUUCGCCAUCAACUUCUUCACGGCGAUUGGCCUGGGAGGAGUCACGGAAUCAGCCAGGGAGCAUCUAGUCAACAACAGAUCCUACAGUACCUAA
Molecule: ribosomal RNA, 651 nt
Filed under: Triticum aestivum (bread wheat)
Lineage: Eukaryota; Viridiplantae; Streptophyta; Magnoliopsida; Poales; Poaceae
Description: partial small subunit ribosomal RNA
Source: RNAcentral